CCUACGGGUGGCAGCAGUGAGGAAUAUUGGUCAAUGGGCGCGAGCCUGAACCAGCCACGUAGCGUGAAGGAUGACUGCCCUCCGGGUUGUAAACUUCUUUUAUAAAGGAGUAAAGUGAGGCACGUGUGCCUUUUUGUAUGUACUUUAUGAAUAAGGAUCGGCUAACUCCGUGCCAGCAGCCGCGGUAAUACGGAGGAUCCGAGCGUUAUCCGGAUUUAUUGGGUUUAAAGGGAGCGUAGAUGGGUUGUUAAGUCAGAUGUGAAAGUUUGCGGCUCAACCGUAAAAUUGCAAUUGAUACUGGCAGACUUGAGUACAGGUGAGGUAGGCGGAAUUCGUGGUGUAGCGGUGAAAUGCGUAGAUAUCACGAAGAACUCCGAUUGCGAAGGCAGCCUACUAAACUGCCACUGACAUUGAGGCUCGAAAGUGUGGGUAGCAAACAGGAUUAGAUACCCUAGUAGUC
This 460-nucleotide ribosomal RNA is filed under the name uncultured bacterium. Its description in RNAcentral is "partial 16S ribosomal RNA". It matches the Rfam family "Bacterial small subunit ribosomal RNA", at positions 338 to 795 of the family's 1533-position model. The record is from RNAcentral.